GGGUCGUUAGCUCAGUUGGUAGAGCAGCGGACUUUUAAUCCGUUGGUCGCAGGUUCGAGUCCCGCACGGCCUA
Transfer RNA from Reticulomyxa filosa, 73 nucleotides. It matches the Rfam family "tRNA". From Rfam's summary of the family: Transfer RNA (tRNA) molecules are approximately 80 nucleotides in length. Their secondary structure includes four short double-helical elements and three loops (D, anti-codon, and T loops). Further hydrogen bonds mediate the characteristic L-shaped molecular structure. tRNAs have two regions of fundamental functional importance: the anti-codon, which is responsible for specific mRNA codon recognition, and the 3' end, to which the tRNAs corresponding amino acid is attached (by aminoacyl-tRNA synthetases). tRNAs cope with the degeneracy of the genetic code in two manners: having more than one tRNA (with a specific anti-codon) for a particular amino acid; and 'wobble' base-pairing, i.e. permitting non-standard base-pairing at the 3rd anti-codon position. The record is from Rfam. NCBI's taxonomy places the organism in Eukaryota, Foraminifera, Reticulomyxidae.